RNAcentral lists this ribosomal RNA (819 nucleotides) under uncultured marine bacterium. RNAcentral's name for it is "bacterial SSU rRNA". It matches the Rfam family "Bacterial small subunit ribosomal RNA", at positions 60 to 884 of the family's 1533-position model. The record is from RNAcentral.
AGUCGAGUGAAGCUUUUCAGUAGUUUACUACAGAAAAUGACUGAGCGGCGAACGGGUGAGUAACGCGUGAGCAAUCUACCUUAGUUACAGGGAUAGCCCGAGGAAACUCGGAUUAAUACCUGAUAUUCUUUAUUUCUCGCAUGAGAAUAAAAGGAAAGGUCAGCCGAACUAAGAUGAGCUCGCGUUCUAUCAGCUAGUUGGUGAGGUAAAAGCUUACCAAGGCUACGACGGAUAGCUGGUCUGAGAGGACGAUCAGCCACACUGGGACUGAGACACGGCCCAGACUCCUACGGGAGGCUGCAGCAGGGAAUAUUGUGCAAUGAACGAAAGUUUGACACAGCGACACCGCGUGUGGGAUGACGGAUCUAGGUUUGUAAACCCCUUUCAGGAGGGAAGAAAAUGACGGUACCUCCACAAGAAGCCCCGGCCAACUACGUGCCAGCAGCCGCGGUAAUACGUAGGGGGCGAGCGUUGUCCGGAUUUAUUGGGCGUAAAGAGCUCGUAGGCGGUUCAACAAGUCGGUCGUGAAAGUUCAGGGCUCAACCCUGAAAUGUCGAUCGAUACUGUUGUGACUAGGAUACGGUAGAGGUGAGUGGAAUUCCGAGUGUAGCGGUGAAAUGCGUAGAUAUUCGGAGGAACACCAAUUGCGAAGGCAGCUCACUGGGCCGCUAUCGACGCUGAGGAGCGAAAGCUAGGGGAGCAAACAGGAUUAGAUACCCUGGUAGUCCUAGCUGUAAACGAUGGAUACUAGAUGUAGGAACUGGAUUGACGGUUUCAGUAUCGCAGCUAACGCGUUAAGUAUCCCGCCUGGGGAGUACG